CUUCUUUUUUGUGUUACCGUCGAUCCCGAAGGACGAUCAGUUUUUUUUUUUUUUUUUUUUUUUUUUUUUUUUUGUUCUUUCGUUAUUCGAAAGAAAGAGAGGGAGAGAGAGAGAGAACGGCGUAGCGGUGUAUACCAGAAGAGGGGUGCUGCAAACAGAUCUUCCCACAUCA
Molecule: non-coding RNA, 172 nt
Organism: Diplonema papillatum
Lineage: Eukaryota; Euglenozoa; Diplonemea; Diplonemida; Diplonemidae
Source: the annotation of a GenBank genome assembly